RNAcentral lists this long non-coding RNA (411 nucleotides) under Cyanistes caeruleus (blue tit). Its description in RNAcentral is "lncRNA (ENSCCEG00000016558.1)". Lineage: Eukaryota; Metazoa; Chordata; Aves; Passeriformes; Paridae. The record is from RNAcentral.
AUCUGAGGCAGUUGCUCUCAUUGAAUUUUAACCUGUCAUCAUCUGUGCCAGCCCAUGCUGCAGAGACCCACAGGGGGAGUAUGAGCUUCUCCCUUCCGACACGGAGCAACCUCAGGCAGAGCAAAGAGGUGCCUUCUUCUUUGUGGCUCACCCCACUGAACAUGCCCAGCUGUCAAGAUACACCAGACUGUGAAUGAAUCGGCAGCUGCACAAAUUACUUAAAAAGAAGAAUUUGCCACCAGAGCAAGAAGCUGUGAAGUCUGCAAAACAAUUCUCCCUUGUGUAUUUAAACAUGAGUAGACAAACUGCACAGUACAUCUCUGACAGAGAAGCUGACAGAGAAGCUGAGCCUAAAAAGCAAAGAGAGCACAUCUUUUACAAUGUGGUGAUGCACAGGUGGGAGAAAGGCCU